AUUCACUCCCUGCUCCACCAUGGAUGCGCACAUCCUGCAUCAACUCGUGACCACCAGAGCUUCUUGGACACGAUGCUGCCCUUGUACCCCUGCUGGUUCCUGUUUGGGUUUCCUACCUACCCCUUCAGCUGAGUUUCUUCCUGUUCCCUUCCUCCCUGACUGUUCCACCUGCCUGCAGUCUGAUUGCAGCAAUGAGAAUCAGCUGCCGUAAUUGGCUCACCACCAGUCACCUGUUUGCAAUUCCACCUCCCAGCAUAUAAGCCAGCUCUGUCAUUCACUCCCUGCUCCACCAUGAAUGCGCACAUCCUGCAUCAACUCGUGACCACCAGAGCUUCUUGGACACGAUGCUGCCCUUGUACCCCUGCUGGUUCCUGUUUGGGUUUCCUACCUACCCCUUCAGCUGAGUUUCUUCCUAUUCUUUCAGCCCUUCCUCCCUGACUGUUCCACCUGCCUGCAGUCUGAUUGCAGCAAUGAGAAUCAGCUGCCAUAAUUGGCUCACCACCAGUCACCUGUUUGCAAUUCCACCUCCCAGCAUAUAAGCCAGCUCUGUCAUUCACUCCCUGCUCCACCAUGGAUGCGCACAUCCUGCAUCAACUCGUGACCACCAGAGCUUCUUGGACACGAUGCUGCCCUUGUACCCC
Molecule: long non-coding RNA, 641 nt
Organism: Amphiprion ocellaris (clown anemonefish)
Lineage: Eukaryota; Metazoa; Chordata; Actinopteri; Pomacentridae
Source: Ensembl